GAAAAUUAAAGUUUUUGAUCGUCGGGGCCAUGUUGCAAAGCUCUGCAUUGUAUUUCUUCCUCUACUUGCUGCUGCCCUUGUGGCAAUCUCUCGAGUGGAUGAUUAUUGGCAUCAUUGGCAAGAUGUGUUUACUGGUGGCUCUUUAGGUUUGAUAGUUGCUUCCAUCUGUUAUCUGCAAUUCUUUCCACCACCUUAUGAUUCUGAAGGUUGGGCGCCUCAUGCUUAUUUUCGGAUGUUAGCGGAUAUUCGC
Molecule: unclassified non-coding RNA, 250 nt
Filed under: Hevea brasiliensis (rubber tree)
Lineage: Eukaryota; Viridiplantae; Streptophyta; Magnoliopsida; Malpighiales; Euphorbiaceae
Source: RNAcentral